RNAcentral lists this small RNA (281 nucleotides) under Nomascus leucogenys (northern white-cheeked gibbon). RNAcentral's name for it is "Metazoan signal recognition particle RNA (ENSNLEG00000029228.1)". The record is from RNAcentral. Lineage: Eukaryota; Metazoa; Chordata; Mammalia; Primates; Hylobatidae.
GCCGGGCACGGUGGCUCAUGCCUGUAAUCCCAACAAUUUGGGAGGCUGAGGUGGGUGGAUCACUUGAGGUCAGGAGUUCAAGACCAGCCUGGCCAACAUGGCAAAACCCCGUCUCUACUAAAAAUACAAAAAUUAGCUGGGUGUACUGGCAGGUGCCUGUAAUCCCAGCUACUCAGGAGGCUGAGGCAGGAGAAUCGCUUGAACCCAGGAGGCGGACGUUAUAUGAGCCGAGAUUGUGCCACUGUACUCCAGCCUGGGCAACAGAGUGAGACUCCAUCUCA